RNAcentral lists this ribosomal RNA (442 nucleotides) under uncultured bacterium. RNAcentral's name for it is "partial 16S ribosomal RNA". It matches the Rfam family "Bacterial small subunit ribosomal RNA", at positions 338 to 795 of the family's 1533-position model. The record is from RNAcentral.
CCUACGGGCGGCAGCAGUAGGGAAUCUUUCACAAUGGGCGAAAGCCUGAUGGAGCAACGCCGCGUGCAGGAUGAAGGCCUUCGGGUUGUAAACUGCUUUUAUAAGCGAGAAAUAUGAUGGUAACUUAUGAAUAAGGAUCGGCUAACUACGUGCCAGCAGCCGCGGUCAUACGUAGGAUCCGAGCAUUAUCCGGAGUGACUGGGUGGAAAGAGUUGCGUAGGUGGCAUAAUAAGUAGCUAGUGAAAUCUGGUGGCUCAAACAUUCAGACUAUUAGCUAAACUGUUAAGCUCGAGACCGUUAGGGGUAACUGGAAUUUCUAGUGUAGGAGUGAAAUCCGUAGAUAUUAGGAGGAACACCAAUGGCGAAGGCAGGUGACUGGGACGGUUCUGACGCUGAGGCACGAAAGCGUAGGGAGCAAACGGGAUUAGAUACCCCAGUAGUC